AUGAACCGAACGAUAAGAGCCAAGAAGAACGCGGAGGAGUCGCCAUGGAUGACCCCAAGAGCAACUCCGCCGGAGUCUAGGGUCCAGAACCAAAUGAAAGGAGCAAAGAAGGCAGGAAGAGCAAGGGAGGAGCCGCCAUGGACGAGCAGUGGUACUGUACCCGCGACGCAGUUGGGCCGGCGAAGGGAAGGUGGGCGGCAAGAAACGGGCUGCUUGCUCGUCCCUCCUCCUCUCUCUCUCUCUCCACGCACUCACGCAAAAGAAGAGCUCGAGUCGAGUGGUGGUGAGUCGGAGGUCUCAGGAGGGGAGGAGGGGGACGAGGCAAAGCUCCUUUAUAUACAUACACCAUGGAAUCGCGACUCUGUAAUGUAG
Molecule: ribosomal RNA, 372 nt
Filed under: Triticum aestivum (bread wheat)
Lineage: Eukaryota; Viridiplantae; Streptophyta; Magnoliopsida; Poales; Poaceae
Description: partial small subunit ribosomal RNA
Source: RNAcentral